Molecule: long non-coding RNA, 268 nt
Filed under: Gouania willdenowi (blunt-snouted clingfish)
Lineage: Eukaryota; Metazoa; Chordata; Actinopteri; Blenniiformes; Gobiesocidae
Description: lncRNA (ENSGWIG00000017255.1)
Source: RNAcentral
CAAGGAUUAGACACACACGGCAUUUUAACUAGAGAAAGUUGCUCAAUUGAAAUAUUUUUUUUCUUCCUAUUUGUUUAAACACAGAAGACAAUCCAGAGCAGACAAUUUUCGAUCUGCACCAAAAGAAGCUCCUUGGACAUUAGUUUACCGCCAUCUUCCAGCUCCUUUACAUGUGAACAAGGACAACAUCAGGAAGUUUGACCAGCUUAAACACAGAGAGAAAUACCAGUGGACAUUCAGCCCAGAGAGACAGCGUCUUGGAGUCUGA